This 402-nucleotide long non-coding RNA is filed under the name Sus scrofa (pig). RNAcentral's name for it is "lncRNA (ENSSSCG00070019141.1)". Lineage: Eukaryota; Metazoa; Chordata; Mammalia; Artiodactyla; Suidae. The record is from RNAcentral.
AUGCCGUCGCAUGCCUUCCCUUCGACGAGAAAUACCCUUCAUAACUCACUCACCUUGCUUCCCUGGCCUUCACGUCCUGGGAUCAACAUCACUUUCUCAGGAAACCUUUCCCGGGCACACCAGGUUGACAUGAGAAUCUCACUGCACAUCUUGAUCGAGACCAGGAGCGAGGAUACACAGCCAGUGCUUCACGAGUGGUGAGUAAACAAUACAUAUUGGCUGCUGCUAACGCUGUGGUUGCUGUCCUUGUUUAGCCGUUCAGGAAUUGCUUGACUUUUGACUAAUUUAUCUAAGACCUCUGUGGCUCAGUUUCGUGGUCUCAGAAGAAUGAGGCUGUGAGACCCUGUUACGCAACUAGCUGCAUUUCACUAGACACAAAUAAAGGUAAUGUCUACAAAGCCA